AGCUGUCAGUUGCUCAGCAGAUAGUGUUAAAAUUCUAUCACUGGGUGUUUGACAGAUUC
This 59-nucleotide microRNA precursor is filed under the name Heliconius melpomene (postman butterfly). Its description in RNAcentral is "Hme-Mir-3-P21_pre stem-loop". The record is from RNAcentral. Lineage: Eukaryota; Metazoa; Arthropoda; Insecta; Lepidoptera; Nymphalidae.